Molecule: ribosomal RNA, 463 nt
Filed under: uncultured bacterium
Lineage: Bacteria
Description: partial 16S ribosomal RNA
Rfam family: Bacterial small subunit ribosomal RNA
Source: RNAcentral
GACGAACGCUGGCGGCGUGCUUAACACAUGCAAGUCGAACGGAAAGGCCUUUUCGGCGGUACUCGAGUGGCGAACGGGUGAGUAACACGUGGGUGAUCUGCCCUGCACUCUGGGAUAAGCCUGGGAAACUGGGUCUAAUACCGGAUAGGACCGCACUUUAGUGUGUGUGGUGGAAAGUUGUUUCGGUGUAGGAUGAGCCCGCGGCCUAUCAGCUUGUUGGUGGGGUAAUGGCCUACCAAGGCGGCGACGGGUAGCCGGACUGAGAGGUUGGUCGGCCACAUUGGGACUGAGAUACGGCCCAGACUCCUACGGGAGGCAGCAGUGGGGAAUAUUGCACAAUGGGCGCAAGCCGAAUGCAGCGACGCCGCGUGGGGGAUGACGGCCUUCGGGUUGUAAACUCCUUUCGCCAGGGACGAAGCGUUUUGUGACGGUACCUGGAGAAGAAGCACCGGCUAACUACGUG